Long non-coding RNA from Acinonyx jubatus (cheetah), 1994 nucleotides. RefSeq lists it as uncharacterized. The transcript is spliced from 2 exons. NCBI's taxonomy places the organism in Eukaryota, Metazoa, Chordata, Mammalia, Carnivora, Felidae. The record is from RefSeq and is a predicted model, not a curated record.
AACUCCUCGCAGGGCUCGUUCCUCCGAGAGCAGACGCGUCAGAGUGAGUCUGGCUGGGCCUCUGGGCCUCGCCAGCCACACCUUCUUCUCUCCCUUUCAGGGCUGUUGAAACGUGCAGGGAGCGAGCUGGGGCAGGAAGGAGGCGCCCGCAGGCCACAGCAGCACCGAACGAGGUUCUCGGUGACGCUCAGGUCCCGCCAGCACCCCAGGACUGCCCUCCAGCCCCUUGCUAGGUCCUUUGGGGCUGACGUUCUUUUUUAUUAUCUGGGGGUCGAUUCUGCAAUUCUGUUUGAAGGCUGACGGUAUGUUUGCUCCCCCAAACCAUGGAACUAUUAGGUAGCAAGCUGACUAGAGGAAGUUACAGUCACUGGUGUGAACCAAUCAUUCUGAAAGUCUCUGCCUCACAGAACUUUCUCAGCCACCUGCACUUGUGGGCAAAAGAAACAGUGUGCCUUGUAAGUAGCAUUGAAGCACGGAACUGAGCCCAGAGCCCGAAAGACAAGGCUGGGAAUGCCCUCCACGGGGACCAUCCCUGCCUCACACGUUGGCAGAUCAGCUCUCUUCCAACGUCAAGAUCCGAAAAUGGUGCGAAUUUCAGGGGAGCCCUUUAGAGCAUGAACCAGGCUGUCUCAUCCUAGGGUGAUUUUAAAGGGCUUCCUGAAAACUGUCACACGUCAAAACCCUGUCAACAGGACAGGAUGUGAACAGCGUUUCCAACAAAGCCACAAACGGAAAGUCUCCAAUGUCUGUUUCAUAGCCGAGGGAAAGGAGAAAAGUUUUGAAAUGGUAACAUUCUACCAUCGCAAACGCCAGCAUUACACCGAGACCCAAGUCUCAAAGGCUAAGGGGUUUAACGUUGCAAAUAAGAGGCGGACGACAGCCCCCAGCAAACCCUCCCGGCAGCCCACCCCCCCCCGCGGCCCCCCCCCGCCCCGCAGGGUACCUUGUUCUUCCAGGAUUCCGUUGGGCACCUUCUUGUCAUUGGCGCUGACCACGGCUUUCCUCUGCUUCCUGAACCUUCGAGACACAGACUGGUUAGCCUCGGGCACAGGGAAGGCCCCCGGGACGCAGGGCUCUUGCGCAAGGAUACCCACCAGGUGAGCCUGGAGAAGCUCUUCCUGCCGCUCAUGGCUGGACCCUGCCACGCCGGCCCCGGGUCACCAGCCCCGCUCGUCCCCGGCCCCUCCGGUCCCCAGCCCUGCCGCCCUCUGCCUGGGCCCACACCCGCAGUGCGGCCUGGAGGAGAUCAUUUCCUCAUCAGAGCUGGUCGGGGCAAGUCCGCCCGCGCCCCGGGGACACUCCUACCUGAAGAAGUAGGCGGCGAGGAGGAGAGAGACGACUAACAGCAGCAGAGGCAGCAGCAGCCAGGCCAGCAGGGGCUGGGACGCGCGGGGGUCCGGAGGGCCUGCGGGCAGAGCCGGUCCCCAUCACGAUGGGACUCAGACGAAGGGGAAAAGGGGGUUUGGGCGAGGAAGGAGCCCCAGCACCAGACCACGCUUCCCCGUCGGCAAAGCAGGCCACCGCCCGGUGCCUUGUGCUCUUACCACUGAUGAGAUGAGACACGGGGGACAGAGCGUGAACUGAGGGGCCGGUGACUUUGACCCUGGGAGAUCUCGAAUGCCCCCUCCUCCAGGAAGCCCGCUUGGCUCCCCUUCUGUGGAUCCCAGAGAGUCUCUGUAUGCCUCCAAGCACAGACCCUACUCUCUCGGAAUGAACAGACCCUGGGGGCAACCGCCUUCCCUCUGAGUCAGUGGACGUUCCUCAAAGACAACAAUGGUCCUCCCAUAGCUUUGUGUCCUCCCAUAGCUGAGCCCAGUGGGGGCACCGCGGUCCUGCAGCUUCCCUCCCCUGGUACCCCGUCCUCGUGUAUCCUAAAGGUCCCUCCCCACCCCCAUCCAGGUUGUAAGCAACUCCCCCCUCCGGGGCCUCACACUGGCUCUGGCACCCAUCAGUGGCCAAGGCACGUAUUUCUAAUAAAUGCCAGUUUUUACUGA